CUCGAACCGCCAAUCUUUCAGUUAGCAGUUGCACACUUAACUGUCAGUACCACCGGGGGGGGACUCCUUCCUUCAGGAUCAAACCAAAACCAAACCCAUUGCCAGAACCAAACCCAUUGCCAUCGAGUCAAUUCAGACUCAUAAACCCAUAUUCAUUGCCACUGAGUCAAUUCCGACUCGUAACAACCCUACAGGACAGAGUAGAACUGCCCCAUAGAGUUUCCAAGGAGCGCCUGGUGGAUUUGAACUGCCGACCUUUUGGUUAGCAGCUGUAGCUCUUAACCACUAUAAAAAUAAAAAAAAAAAACCCAGUGCCACCAACAAAAAAACCAACUCCGUUGCUGUCAGGUCGAUUCCAAUUCAUAGCAACCCUAUGGGACUGAGUAGAACUACCCCAUAGGGUUUCCAAGGAGCGCCUGGUGGAUUCAAACUGCCAACCUUUUGCUUAGCAGCCAUAGCUCUUAACCACUACACCACCAGGGUUUCCACCACCAGGGUCCUAUAAGUCAGGGGAGAACUGCCCCACAGGGUUUUCAAGGAGGGGCUGGUGGAUUGAACUGCCAGCCUCUGGGUUAACAGCUGAUCUAACCACGUACUUCAGUACAGUGACUCCUGACUGGUGCAGACUGGAAAGCAGUCACACAGAAAAGUCCCUCCUCUGACGUGGCACCUCUGCACACAGGCCCUUGCUGAUGGCUCUACCUAACAGAGCCAGCAGUCCCUGCCACCCCUCUCUCCCUCUCCUUUUCCGCAUAGCACUUCCCAGAGCCUGGCACGCUCUGUAUCUGCUUGCUAGUUACCGUCUGUCUCUUCUGCCAGAUGUGAGCUCUGGACUCUGUCUUUUUCACUCUUGUAUCCCCAGCAUCCAGAACUGUGAGUGUGAUAGUUGCUCACAGACGUGCUGAAUGAAUGCUAACGUGUCCUAGGACAGCACGGACAUUCCUCGGGCCUCUCCCUCAACAACUGUUCGCGAUUCUGCACACGGCAGGCACCCUCCACAUCUCUCACUGCUAAACCGCUAUUUCUUAUUAAGUUUCUAAAUUGCUGAGCGGAUUAGAGGAUUCCUUUGAAGCUUUCAUGCUUAAACUUUGUAGAAAGAAAUUCUCUGUCUCUGUAACUGUUACUGGGACAGAUUAGAAAUAAUUUGGAACUGAAUGGAUGUGGCAUUUUGUAAGCAUUUCUUAUCUGCCAGGGCUAAUAGUGGACACUUUAUUGCUUACAAUAGCCCAGGAGGAAGUCUCAUUAUCUGCAUUGUACAGAUGGGAAACCGAGGGUCAGACGGGCUAACGGCUUAUGCUCGCCGCUCUAUAAAUAUGGCUCUCGCCAAUAAAGAAUGUAUUGUAACCCGUAAUAAGUUUGCGAACUUAGAAAUUACAGGGACACGGCAGCUCGAUACAGCGGAAGGAGAACAAGCUUUGGGUUCAGACUGAUAUGGUUGGAAUUUUAACUUCCACUCAGUAGCUGCCCGACCUUGUGCUUGCUAUUUAAUCUUUCCGAGCUGUUCAGGAGUUCAGCAUGAAUAAUGAGAAGCUGUAGUCACGAGAGCAGGAACUGUAAAUACUACUUGUCGAGCUGUCUAGCUGCGUCUCCUAGUGUGGACUCCAAGCCUCCCUGGCUCUUCCUGUUUGGGCCAGCCCCUCCCUCUGACCUGGCCUGCUAACCUGCUGGCCACCUUAAGCACGGCACUGUGCGGACGGGCCAGGACCACAGGCUCGCACCUCUGGGUGGUGCCAGUCCUGCCCCUACCACUUAGCUAUCUGGGUGUCUGAGCAGAUUCCCUAACCUGUCCACACCACCACGUUCUCAUCUGUAAACCAGAGGUGUGCAGUGAGGACCACACAGUGAAGAUAAAGCGGAUGGAAUGUGCUUGGCAGCCAGAGCACACGUGACGACACACGGCUGCAGUGGCUGCGCACUGGGAGCUGGCUCCUGGGGUUCAGCACUGGCUCCAGCCUCUCACUCAGCUGCAAGCACAGGCCUCAGGGCUCCGGGUUCCAGGGUGGUUCGGCUCUGAGGCUGCACGUGCGUUUGAUGCUCCAACAGGAAAAGCCAUGGGCAGCCUCUGCUGGCGCCCUCAGUGCCGGCAAUGCAGCUGCUGUCGAGUCGGCCCCCAGCUCAUGGCAACCCCACGCACAACAGCACAAACGCUGCCCGGUCCAGCACCAUCUCCAUGAUUGGUUGCAGACUGCACUGUUGUGAUCCACAGGGUCAUUUCUGGAGCUAGAUCGGCAGACCUUUCUUCCUAGUUUGUCUUAGUCUGGAAGCACCGCUGAAACCUGCUCAGCAUCACAGCAACACGCAAGUCUUGUUGCGGACAGAUGGGUGGUGGCUGUGCUUAGGUGCACUGGCCGGAAAUCGAACCCAGGUCUCCUAAAUGGAAGUGGAUUCUUCACAAGGCACGCAGAGAAAACCGUCAAGAACACGGAGAGACAGGAUUGAGGCUAACUGAACGGGGGAAGAAAACUUCCUCGGAGACCUGAAGAAACACAUUACCUUUCCCCACUUCUUGCGGUGCUCCCUGGAAGCUGCUUUCACCGGGUAACUUGUUUCCAUGACUACACCAUUCCUCAGUGAUAAUUUUAUAGGUUUAGCACAUUUCCAACUAAGUAACAUCACUCCUGCUUCAGGGAGAAGGACCAUAUAACAAGCUCAAAAUGCCAAGAGGCCCCCAGAGGUCAAUGCGCCACAGAACAGCGCCGCCAGCCGCUUCGCACACACACCUCUCCUCUGCUCCUCCGAGAAGUUCAACUGUGUCACGGGAGACACAUCCUGACAGCCAGAAAAAGCGGCAUAAUUUCACAGGUUUGAAAUUACCACCAACAGACUUCAGACAAACCAAACUGCUCACUCUCACCCAUCAACGCUUGGGUGCACCCUCCCUGCCUGCUCCCCAGGCAGCUCCACACGUCGGAUCCCACCCAACUGCCAGGGCGCGAUCCUGACCUGAGGACCAGUAGAGAGAACAGGGUCCGUGUCCUUAUUCUACCACCUGCUUACCCUGGGAACUUGGGCAAAGCACCCGACUCUCCUAAGCUUCCAUCUCCACGCUGACCUCACAGGGUGUCUGCAAGAACUGAGUAAACUGAGUGUGUGAAGCACCUAGCACAGGUCUGGCCUGUAAACCACACCCCACCGACAUUAGUUCUCUCACGUUGCGUUUUCCUUGAUAAGAACCUGUUGGAGGAGGGUACCCAGGCUGCUCGAGGAAAGCGGUGGGUAUUUCAUGGUGACUAAAGGAGACAGGAGGAGCCCUGGUAGCUCAGUGGUUAAGCACUCGGCUGCUAAAUGAAAGGUCAGCGGUUCAAACCCACCAGCUGCUCCAUGGACAAAGAUAUGGCAGUCUGCUUCCGUGAAGAUUACAGCCUUGCAAACCCUGUGGGGCAGCUCUAAUCUGUCCUGCAGGGUGGCUGUGAGUCAGAACUGACUUGACGGCAAAGGGUAACACGUAAAGAGGAGCAUGGAAAUGGGAAAACUGAGACAUGAGAGACAUGGAACGUUCAGUGAGUCCAAAUCAUACGGGCCUUGAAUGUAGAAUAAAGAAGCGUUGGGACGCUGCCACAAGUGAGACAGGAGGAUGGUGUACUGAAAGGCGUCACAGUGCGAGCCCAAGCCUCAAACAGGCGGCUCAGAUCCAGCCAGCUCCCUGAGCCUCGGCUUUUGUACGUGCAGACAAUACCACUACUCAAAAGGAUGUCAUGAGAAUUUAAAAUGACAAUUUAUAUACCAUUGUCUUAGAAACAGCAGGUACUCAAUAAAUGUUAACUAUGUAUUUAAAUAUUCUUUGAUCCAUAGGACUCAACUUUGAUCCACUGGACAUGUCAUCAGGAAAAACCAAUUGCUAAGAAAGGCCAUUAGGGCUGGUAAAACAGAAGGCUAACAAAUAUGAGGGAGGACCCCCGUGAGAUGGAUUCACACAACAGCCACAAUGGGCUCAAACAUGCUGACAAUCAUGAGAUGGCACAGGGCCAGGCAACGUUUCUUUCUGUUAUACACAAGGUCGCCAUGAGUCAGAGCCAACUCAGCCAUAACGACUUAUUUAAAUAAUUACACUAAAUACAUUUACAAACAUUCGUGUACAUCUAUAAACAUUUAUAAUCUUUCAAAUAGAGAAACACUUUCAGCCUUGCAACAUCCAACUGAAAGAGUCAAAAUUAAUACCACAACCACCA
This is a long non-coding RNA of Loxodonta africana (African savanna elephant), 4169 nucleotides long. RefSeq lists it as uncharacterized. Lineage: Eukaryota; Metazoa; Chordata; Mammalia; Proboscidea; Elephantidae. The transcript is spliced from 4 exons. The record is from RefSeq and is a predicted model, not a curated record.